This 497-nucleotide ribosomal RNA is filed under the name uncultured bacterium. RNAcentral describes it as "partial 16S ribosomal RNA". It matches the Rfam family "Bacterial small subunit ribosomal RNA", at positions 28 to 507 of the family's 1533-position model. The record is from RNAcentral.
GAUGAACGCUGGCGGCGUGCCUAAUACAUGCAAGUCGAGCGAACAGACGAGGAGCUUGCUCCUCUGACGUUAGCGGCGGACGGGUGAGUAACACGUGGAUAACCUACCUAUAAGACUGGGAUUACUUCGGGAAACCGGAGCUAAUACCGGAUAAUAUAUUGAACCGCAUGGUUCAAUAGUGAAAGACGGUUUUGCUGUCACUUAUAGAUGGAUCCGCGCCGCAUUAGCUAGUUGGUAAGGUAAAGGCUUACCAAGGCAACGAUGCGUAGCGGACCUGAGAGGGUGGUCGGACACACUGGAUCUGAGACACAGUCCAGACUCCUAGGGGAAGCAGCAGUAGGGAAUCUUACGCAAUGGGCGAAAGCCUGACAGAGCAACGCCGCGUGAGGGAUGAAGGUCUUCGGAUCGGAAAACUCUGUUAUUAGGGAAGAACAAAUGUGUAAGUAACUAUGCACGUCUUGACGGUACCUAAUCAGAAAGCCACGGCUAACUACGUG